Molecule: ribosomal RNA, 253 nt
Filed under: uncultured bacterium
Lineage: Bacteria
Description: partial 16S ribosomal RNA
Rfam family: Bacterial small subunit ribosomal RNA
Source: RNAcentral
UACGGAGGGUGCGAGCGUUAAUCGGAAUAACUGGGCGUAAAGCGAGCGCAGGCGGUUCCUUAAGUCUGAUGUGAAAGCCCCCGGCUCAACCGGGGAAGGUCAUUGGAAACUGGGGAACUUGAGUGCAGAAGAGGAGAGUGGAAUUCCAUGUGUAGCGGUGAAAUGCGUAGAGAUGUGGAGGAAUACCGAAGGCGAAGGCAGCCCCUUGGGAAUGUACUGACGCUCAUGUGCGAAAGCGUGGGGAGCAAACAGG